RNAcentral lists this ribosomal RNA (492 nucleotides) under uncultured bacterium. RNAcentral describes it as "partial 16S ribosomal RNA". It matches the Rfam family "Bacterial small subunit ribosomal RNA", at positions 28 to 507 of the family's 1533-position model. The record is from RNAcentral.
GAUGAACGCUAGCUACAGGCUUAACACAUGCAAGUCGAGGGGAAACGACAUCGAAAGCUUGCUUUUGAUGGGCGUCGACCGGCGCACGGGUGAGUAACGCGUAUCCAACCUGCCCAUCACUUGAGAAUAACCUUGCGAAAGUAAGACUAAUACCCAAUGAUAUCCCACGAAGGCAUCGGAAUGGGAUUAAAGAUUUAUCGGUGAUGGAUGGGGAUGCGUCUGAUUAGCUUGUUGGCGGGGUAACGGCCCACCAAGGCAACGAUCAGUAGGGGUUCUGAGAGGAAGGUCCCCCACAUUGGAACUGAGACACGGUCCAAACUCCUACGGGAGGCAGCAGUGAGGAAUAUUGGUCAAUGGGCGAGAGCCUGAACCAGCCAAGUAGCGUGCAGGAAGACGGCCCUAUGGGUUGUAAACUGCUUUUAUAAGGGAAUAAAGUGGGUCACGUGUGACUUUUUGCAUGUACCUUAUGAAUAAGGACCGGCUAAUUCCGUG